This 497-nucleotide ribosomal RNA is filed under the name uncultured bacterium. Its description in RNAcentral is "partial 16S ribosomal RNA". It matches the Rfam family "Bacterial small subunit ribosomal RNA", at positions 28 to 507 of the family's 1533-position model. The record is from RNAcentral.
GAUGAACGCUGGCGGCGUGCCUAAUACAUGCAAGUCGAGCGAACAGACGAGGAGCUUGCUCCUCUGACGUUAGCGGCGGACGGGUGAGUAACACGUGGAUAACCUACCUAUAAGACUGGGAUAACUUCGGGAAACCGGAGCUAAUACCGGAUAAUAUAUUGAACCGCAUGGUUUAAUAGUGAAAGACGGUUUUGCUGUCACUUAUAGAUGGAUCCGCGCCGCAUUAGCUAGUUGGUAAGGUAACGGCUUACCAAGGCAACGAUGCGUAGCCGACCUGAGAGGGUGAUCGGCCACACUGGAACUGAGACACGGUCCAGACUCCUACGGGAGGCAGCAGUAGGGAAUCUUCCGCAAUGGGCGAAAGCUUGACGGGGCAACGCCGCGUGAGUGAUGAAGGUCUUCGGAUCGUAAAACUCUGUUAUUAGGGAAGAACAAAUGUGUAAGUAACUAUGCACGUCUUGACGGUACCUAAUCAGAAAGCCACGGCUAACUACGUG